Non-coding RNA from Bos taurus (domestic cattle), 72 nucleotides. The record is from Rfam. NCBI's taxonomy places the organism in Eukaryota, Metazoa, Chordata, Mammalia, Artiodactyla, Bovidae.
UCCCUGGUGGCUCAGAGGGUAAAGCAUCUGCCUGUGAUGCGGAAGACCCAGUUUCGAUCCCUGGGUUGGGAA